Molecule: long non-coding RNA, 700 nt
Organism: Mercurialis annua (annual mercury)
Lineage: Eukaryota; Viridiplantae; Streptophyta; Magnoliopsida; Malpighiales; Euphorbiaceae
Exons: 3
Source: RefSeq, a predicted model, not a curated record
UAAUGGCUAGGGUUUGUGGUAGUAGGGUUGUUUGAAACAAGUUAACGAUUGACGUGUUUCCGAAGUAAAAUAGCGAAUUGUGUACGAUGAUUUGUGUAUGCGUUUUGCUCCCUAGGUUCGAAAGGCCUUCGACCAGCCACACCCUGACCCUAGUAGGCAGAGGUAUGAAGGACAUAGGGGCUGUGUGGGAAGUCCUUACGCGACGAGAGCGGAAGCAUUCAUCGUUGGUUUAAACUUGACGAGCAACGGGUCGAGACUCGCCGAGGCGACUACUAACGGAACACGGAACGUGACGAACGAUAUUGCUUUGUUUGUUCUAGAAGAUUUUGGAUAGCAAGUGUGUUUCAUUUCAGGGUCAUAGUAAAGGAUGUGACGAACUUCUAUGUCCUUGUUCCAGAAGUUCGGAGUUUGUACAGAAUCAAUAGUGCUGCAGUAGUUGAGUAUUAGUAAGUUGUAACGGUGUGUCAAACGGUUUUGAUUGUAAAACGUAUACUCUGAUAUUUGUAAAAGGUUUUGAAACUGCGCUUUUAAACCGUUUGUUAAAGGUGGAACGGGCUGUGCUAGAUGUGAGACAUCGCAAUAUAAGACCCAGGUUCCUAUGUAAUGUUUUCAGGUUUUGAAACAGACGUUUGUAUACGUCAAGAAUGGAAAGGUUUUCAUGAAAAUGAUUUUGUAUAUGAUUAUGAUUUUUUUUUAUCAA